RNAcentral lists this ribosomal RNA (484 nucleotides) under uncultured bacterium. RNAcentral describes it as "partial 16S ribosomal RNA". It matches the Rfam family "Bacterial small subunit ribosomal RNA", at positions 30 to 507 of the family's 1533-position model. The record is from RNAcentral.
AUUGAACGCUGGCGGCAUGCCUAACACAUGCAAGUCGAGCGGAUGAAGGGAGCUUGCCCUCGGAUCCAGCGGCGGACGGGUGAGUAAUGCCUAGGAAUCUGCCUGGUAGUGGGGGAUAACGUCCGGAAACGGGCGCUAAUACCGCAUACGUCCUGAGGGAGAAAGUGGGGGAUCUUCGGACCUCACGCUAUCAGAUGAGCCUAGGUCGGAUUAGCUAGUUGGUGGGGUAAAGGCCUACCAAGGCGACGAUCCGUAACUGGUCUGAGAGGAUGAUCAGUCACACUGGGACUGAGACACGGUCCAGACUCCUACGGGAGGCAGCAGUGGGGAAUAUUGGACAAUGGGCGAAAGCCUGAUCCAGCCAUGCCGCGUGUGUGAAGAAGGUCUUCGGAUUGUAAAGCACUUUAAGUUGGGAGGAAGGGCAGUAAGUUAAUACCUUGCUGUUUUGACGUUACCAACAGAAUAAGCACCGGCUAACUACGUG